Long non-coding RNA from Ictalurus punctatus (channel catfish), 4149 nucleotides. Lineage: Eukaryota; Metazoa; Chordata; Actinopteri; Siluriformes; Ictaluridae. The record is from Ensembl.
CCCACACCCACACGCAACAUGCUGUGUCAGUGUGCGACAGCACUAGAGCCACACAAGCGUCCUCUCUGAGCCUCGGUACAGUAAGAUCGCAGAGGUGUGAACGUAGAAGCCAUGUCCGCAGCUCCCGCCGUACAUGAUGGCUGGAGUGAGCUGCAACUUUUCCUGUCAUCGCUACACGUCCAACUGGCACAAAUUAUUACUGAUGAUGCUGCGCACAUGCUAAACAUGGAGAGUUUAACUUAAUGCAUUCUGACUGCGGCUUCCUCAAAGCUAAAAAAAAAACAAAACAAAACAAACAAACAAAAAAAAAACACACUGAAUCCUUUCAGUCCGAGCGCCAAGCUAGUCGUCACGGCAAGUUCGAGAGUUUCACGUUUCUAAAUACAUAAACAAACGUUAUGGAUGGAUGAGACGUCAAGAUAUCGUCAUAUAACGUUUUUGUUUGGUUUUUUGCGUAGCUAUAACUGACAAGAGCCAGCGUUCGACGGCUUGCAUCCGAUUCCUGUGAAAAUAUAAACUCCGAUUAAUUACGCAUGCGCACACACAUCCACACAUUUUUUUUUUGUCUCAACCUUCCUCGAUUAAUUAAACAUACCAGAGUGUGAUGUUGGCGAUCUAAACUUUGAUUAGCUUUGAUUAGUUAACGAUUUAGUUAUUAGUUAACGAGUUAACUGUGAUUGAGAUUUAGAUAUUAAUAUUUACGGUCGCCUCUAAAAGUAUUGGAACAGCAAGGCCAAUUCUAUUCGUUUUGCGAUACGUUGAAGACAUUUGGGUUUGAGACCGAAAGAUGAAUAUGAGACGACAGAUCAGAAUCUCUGCUUUCGUUUCCCGUUUCCAGCUUCUCCAUGUCAUGUUUCCAUCUAGACGUGUUACACAACUUAGAACGUGGCACCUUUUGUUUGAACCCGCCGGGUUUUUCCAAAAAAUAUUGGAACACGCGACUGAUAGGAGUUUCUUGCUGCCCAGGUGUGCCCUGUUACAUUGACUGUUUAAUCAAUUAAUAGCUCUGAACAUCUACUCUUGGUUUGAGCCCUAGGAUUCGCCUGUGAAGACUGCGUGUGUUGUUAAAAAGGAUAAACCAAAAUAAAGACCAGAGAGCUGUCUAUGGGAGAAAAGCAAGCCAUUUUGAAGCAGAGAAAAAAAAAGAGGGAAAAUCAAUCAGAGGCAUUCCACGACCAUUGGGAUUCGCCAAUACGACAAUUUGGAAUCUCCUGAAAAAGAAAGACUGUCACUAACGGUACCAUGUUUUAAGCUGUUUAACACAUAUAGAUGUAAAUAUCAUGAAACGAAAGCUGAAAUCCUGAUCCAUCGUCUAAUAUACAUCUUUUAAUCUCAAACCCAAAUGUCUUCGAUGCAUAGCGGAAACAAUAGAAUAUGCCUUGCUGUUCCAGUACUUUCAGACGGGACUGUAUCCUGAGAUAUUUAGCUUAAAUCUUUUCCAUUUAGUGGAGUACAGGUUUAUAAUGUACACCGUGUGAUAUAUAUGUAAAAUUCGAGUUAAUUAAAAUGACCAGAUACCAAAAAUGUAUGAUGCGCCUAAACUGGCAGAAUAAAUGUAAAUAUUAAUUUUACAAUAUACUAACAAUAUAACUGAAUAGCAUAUACAUUUAUUUAUCAGUUUAUUAUAAAAUAUGCCAUGAAUGUCAAGGACUAUAUUACUGUAUGAUAUAAAUAAUAUAAUUUUAUCUAAAAUAACGUUAACAAUGGUUUUAAUGUAUUAUACUGUGAUUAUUUAAUUAUUUAAUUAUAUAUAUAUAUAUAUAUAUAUUCCAGCCAUUCUGAAACGUUUACACACAAUUCCAUGUACAACUCGAGCGUUUUUAAACCACACACACAGACACACGUCAGUAAUAUUAUUUUAAACACCAAACCAGAGACAGAAUCAACACAUAUACAACAUACUCAAUCAUCGAUCUCUGUCAGAUUUCACACCAAUGCUUCAAAGAUCUACCGUUUCCCUUCGACAUCUCGCAACACCGACUGAGACGAAACAACAACACGCCAACGACAAGCAGUCAUGUGAAAUCGGCGUGAGACAAACACUGGACGCUUUGGUGACCUUCAGCUGCAGGGGGAUUUUUUUUUAAAAACUUCAUUAUAAGCCCUCGCUAUAUAUGAAUCAACGAUGGCCUGGCUCAGACUUACACGCUGGCUCUGUCAGAGACGAUUCAUCCCUCGCCCUCAUCCAUCACUCCAAACACGACGGCGUGGACCUCCGCCGCCGGUCUCCAUAGUGACGGCCCAUGCCGUCUCCCACGCGGAUUCAUUAGCAUAAUCAUUUUUUUUUACCAAUCAUGCCAGUGUGACAGCAGUGACAGGCUGGAAAAAAGUCACGCCAGGACACUGAACGGGUUUGUUCUUUUCCGUUACUCGUUGCCGUGUCUGCACAGCGUAUCCUGCGUGACCGGAGCCUGUAUAUAUCAAUCAGGGGCCUUGUUCAAAUACACACGUCGCCCAUGGAGGACCAUGUUCACAUUGCACACAAUAUGUCAUUCCAGGAGCGACUCCAUGUCCCACGUCACCUGCGUCUGGAACUGAUGAUCGGGUCAAAAUGUUUACACGUGGUGACAUACAAUAUGUCUCUCAUAGCUGCUUAGGUACAUGCAUCAGACGCACAUACUACUGUGGCCACUACAGCUGGUCAAAACGAUAUAAUAUUGAUAUUGUGAUGAAUACAUUUUUCAGAGACUUUUCAAGCGAUAUUUUAGAACUACAGAAUUACAAACUAAAUAAAACUAAAAGGAAGCAGCUGAUUUGAUGUCUUUUUUUUUUAAAAACUUAAUCUUUAAAAUUGUUACAGAUUUUCCCCUCAACUGUGGCUCUGUUUUGGGGUCCUUGAGGACGUGUGUAUCUAAGAGAGCUUUCACACCUCUAUUAAUCCAGCUGCUUGGUCCGAAUAAGAGAGCAAUUGAAAGGAAUCUUUGGUUUUGUAAAAAUAAACAUUGGCUGAGGGGUGUGUAAGGCUGAAAACGCCCUGGGUAAAACCUUCACUAAUCAGAAAAUUAACCGAGCUAACCAAACUGACUAGUUGACACAAUGAACAGUUUGGUUCACUUCCUGUAUUUGGGUCAAUUCAGAAUCGAGUCGCUUUCUCGUUGCAACCGGACAGCGCUAGAGUUCAACUGGAACCAGAACACGGCCUCCUCACUGAGACCACCUGGCUGUUAGACUGAUUGUUUUGGUCCACACCUGAGCACGAUUGCUGUGUUCACACCCGCACAUAUGAACUACAUCCAAAGAGGAAAAAACACCAGGCUUCCAUUCAAACAGACCAAAGGCUGCAUAUGUGAAAGCAUCCUUAUAGUUGGUCAUCACCAAAGUGCAAACUUGGAACAAAAUUUGGAACACAGCUUCUGUUUCCGCCAGUUUUUCCACUUGUUGGACCAUAUUUCAGUUUUUUAUCCUACACUGGUUCCUAGAUCAACGUUGCUUGGAUCAGUCAAUGAAAAACUGGCACGCUUCCUGCUUCUUAGUUGUAACAGGACAGUGUUUGUUAAAAAGCAAACUGGCCUUCGCAAUCGAGGAACCUGAUAAACCCAGAUAAGUGCAACGAGGUCAUGAGAUGUAUACCAGGCCACUGGGACACCGUACUGCCUGUGGCUAUUGGGGCGAGUUGCUUCGCUGAACUCGCACUGCUGAUGCCAGGAUUGCACAAAAAUGACUUUCCAUGACCUCAUUAAAACUGCAUUUACGAAAACGUCUCCGAGAAAGGGAGGUGAUCUGGGACGUGUUUUACUGUUUUUAGAUCAUUAAUGGUGCACUGAUCAGUCCAGAUCAGAGGCCAGCGCGGAACAACAUUCUGCAAGAUGUGUCCCAGCAUAUCUCUGAAAAUCUCCAGCCGCACAAAACCGCAUUGUGUGUGGAUUUGAGAAGCGGCUUAGGGCACCGACGAGAACAAGGCGUCCUCUGAGAGAGGCGGACGGAAGGCAUCUCAUCUCGACAGCGCUCCUACCACUCCACGAGCGAAGACGGCUCCGGAGAGACGAAGAGCGAGGGAAAGAGUCGGAUCAAAUCGGCGGAUGAUGACACUCAAGAAUGUGGAGGAAAGAGAUUUGGGCUGAACAAGCUGUUUUGAUUAGAGAUCUAGUGCCAAAAAAAGGAGAAGAAACAAAGAAAGGAUAAAUCAAUGGUGGGACGAAUGACAUGGAU